RNAcentral lists this ribosomal RNA (306 nucleotides) under Iwogumoa xinhuiensis. RNAcentral's name for it is "partial 12S ribosomal RNA". Lineage: Eukaryota; Metazoa; Arthropoda; Arachnida; Araneae; Agelenidae. The record is from RNAcentral.
AAACUAAUUUAGCUUGGCGGCAUCUCAUCUAAUUAGAGGAAUUUGUCCUUUAAUCGAUAAUCCACGUUAAAUUUCACUUUUAUCUAAAAUUUAUAUACCUCCAUCUCAAGAAUCAAUUUCGCAAUAUCUCUCCAAAUAACUAAUAAAAAGUUAGGUCAAGGUGUAAUCCAUAUAAAAGAAUAAGAUGAAUUACAUUAAAAAUAAUUUAAAGAUUAUUAAUAAUUUAUUAAUAUAAAUACGGAUUUAAAAGUAUUAUUUAAAUAAUAAUUCCAUAUGAUAAAGAUAAUAAAUGUGUACACAUCGCCC